This 253-nucleotide ribosomal RNA is filed under the name uncultured bacterium. Its description in RNAcentral is "partial 16S ribosomal RNA". It matches the Rfam family "Bacterial small subunit ribosomal RNA", at positions 524 to 777 of the family's 1533-position model. The record is from RNAcentral.
GACGAAGGGGGCUAGCGUUGUUCGGAAUUACUGGGCGUAAAGCGCGUGUAGGCGGUUGCCCAAGUCGGGUGUGAAAGCCUUGAGCUCAACUCAAGAAAUGCACUCGGUACUGGGUGACUAGAGGACCGGAGAGGAUAGUGGAAUUCCCAGUGUAGUGGUGAAAUACGUAGAGAUUGGGAAGAACACCAGUGGCGAAGGCGGCUAUCUGGACGGUUUCUGACGCUAAGACGCGAAAGCGUGGGGAGCAACAGGA